This 253-nucleotide ribosomal RNA is filed under the name uncultured bacterium. RNAcentral's name for it is "partial 16S ribosomal RNA". It matches the Rfam family "Bacterial small subunit ribosomal RNA", at positions 524 to 776 of the family's 1533-position model. The record is from RNAcentral.
UACGAAGGGGGCUAGCGUUGCUCGGAAUCACUGGGCGUAAAGGGUGCUUAGGCGGGUCUUUAAGUCAGAGGUGAAAUCCUGGAGCUCAACUCCAGAACUGCCUUUGAUACUGAGGAUCUUGAGUUCGGGAGAGGUGAGUGGAACUGCGAGUGUAGAGGUGAAAUUCGUAGAUAUUCGCAAGAACACCAGUGGCGAAGGCGGCUCACUGGCCCGAUACUGACGCUGAGGCACGAAAGCGUGGGGAGCAAACAGG